UACGGAGGGUGCAAGCGUUAUCCGGAUUCACUGGGUUUAAAGGGUGCGUAGGCGGGCAGGUAAGUCCGUGGUGAAAUCUCUGAGCUUAACUCAGAAACUGCCAUGGAUACUAUUUGUCUUGAAUAUUGUGGAGGUAAGCGGAAUAUGUCAUGUAGCGGUGAAAUGCUUAGAUAUGACAUAGAACACCUAUUGCGAAGGCAGCUUACUACGCAGAUAUUGACGCUCAUGCACGAAAGCGUGGGGAUCAAACAGG
RNAcentral lists this ribosomal RNA (253 nucleotides) under uncultured bacterium. Its description in RNAcentral is "partial 16S ribosomal RNA". It matches the Rfam family "Bacterial small subunit ribosomal RNA", at positions 524 to 776 of the family's 1533-position model. The record is from RNAcentral.